Cornus florida is the source of this 1085-nucleotide long non-coding RNA. RefSeq lists it as uncharacterized. The record is from RefSeq and is a predicted model, not a curated record. Lineage: Eukaryota; Viridiplantae; Streptophyta; Magnoliopsida; Cornales; Cornaceae. The transcript has 5 exons.
ACCCAAACGAACAAGCAACCCCUCUUUUGGAAUCCGACCACCAGAUGAGACAACGGUGGAGCAAUUUUACCACCCCGGCGACCAGGAGGACUGAGAAAGGGCCAUGGUAGCUCCCAGUCAAUGGAUGUAAAAACAGAGCUUGACAUAUUUGGAAAUAAAGGGAAGGUGGAGAUUUGCAUCACGAAAUCUAUCAAUCGGAGGACUACUUUGAGACUCAGACACCAUGGAUCUAGCCAGAAGAAGAAGGUUAAGGAGUGUCGAAGAGCUAGCUAGGACCACCAUUUGAUGAAGCAAAGGCUAGCAUUAAAACUCAAAAGCAGAAUACUACUACCGGACUACAAACCUGCAAUAACAUUUUGGCAAUGACACAGCCAUUGCAUUCAAAAUCACUUUCUUUCAUUGAAGAUAAGAGAAUCAAUCUAUCUUGGAAAGAAGCAGUGAAACCCUUCCUAAUAGGGCACUUGAAGGAAUUAGGAGAGUUGAAGCAAGCACUCACAAAGCCAAAUCCUCCGAAUUCACGCAUUGGUUGUGUGACCACAAGUUGAUUGCAGUAGUGGCUGUCAAUAGCUUUUGCAUAAGGGACUUCGAGAAAUGCGGCUGAGAUUUUGCCACUCUUGAAAGCGUCGACGUAGUGAGAUUCGGUGGCAAUGUCUUCCCUGCUGUUGUACAACUCCUUAAAAUGAAAUUCACCGUCCAAGUACUUUGUUUUACUAUUCUUCUCCAGUACUGAGUGAAGCCUUGUGACGGUGAGCAUUGAAGUGAGGCUGGCAACGUAGCUUUGUAUUAAGAUCACCACCACAAUAAGCCACACCACCACCACCACCCGAGUAUAGUUGCUUUGAAUCCUUCCCUCUGCAAAAUUUACUCAUCGUCUAUAUAUAUGAGAAAAAAACUUGGCCACUGUGUGUGAUUCAUUUCAAUUCAUCUCAACCAACACUGCAAGGAGAUAACCUCUCCUGACUAGUACAAUAAAAAUAACAAAAGUUAUCUUUUAUUUAUUUAUUUUUUUAAAUUCUCCCAUCUUUUUCUUCUGCUUAAUCUUUAGAAAUUUGUUAUUAGUUUCAGGACCUUUAAUUUUAAGUACA